CCUACGGGUGGCUGCAGUGGGGAAUAUUGGGCAAUGGAGGAAACUCUGACCCAGCAAUGCCGCGUGAAUGAAGAAGGUCUUCGGAUUGUAAAGCUCUUUUGUCAGGGACGAAUAAAAUGACGGUUCAUGAAGAAUAAGCUCACGCUAACUACGUGCCAGCCGCCGCGGUAAUACGUAGGGAGGAAGCGUUGUUCGGAAUGACUGGGCAGAAGAGGUGCGUAUGCGGUUAUUCAAGGUAGAAGGGAAAUACCCCGGGCUUAACUCGGGAGGGGCUUCGAAAACCGGAAGACUUGAGUGCAGUAGAGGAUAGUGGAAGUCCAAGUGUAGCGGUGGAAUGCGUAGAUAUUAGGAGGAACACCAGAGGCGAAGGCGGCUAACUGGACUGCAACUGACGCUGAGGCACGAAAGUGUGGGGAGCAAACAGGAUUAGAUACCCGGGUAGUC
Molecule: ribosomal RNA, 444 nt
Filed under: uncultured bacterium
Lineage: Bacteria
Description: partial 16S ribosomal RNA
Rfam family: Bacterial small subunit ribosomal RNA
Source: RNAcentral